GUUCAACACUGCUAGAAGGGCUGCCAGUGCAGCUGCUACUAGAGCAGCCGACGUCGUGCCCAGGGUGCCGAUCCAGAGUCCCCAGGACAUCACCGAAGGAUCCUGUCUGAUCAUUUGCGACACUGCGAAUGUCCGGAAAAUAAACUGAGGACCUACUGCGCAUGCGCACAGUGUAUUAUGAAGAGACUGUUAUCAAUUCAAAAUCCGAACGCCUAUUGGAAGACAGUCUAGAAGGACACUUUAAAGAGGACAGACGGUUAACGAGGCGAAAACGAAGUCAACAUGGAUUGGAGGAUGAGCACCAGGCUGUGACCGGGAAAGGAAAAAGUAAAAAAGACCCAGAUGGACGCGACCUGCACUCUCUUGGGGAUUCGGUGUUCGCCAAGGCUUGGCCUCGACCCAGUGCUGAGUAACUAGAGCAGCACAGACCAGACCACCUCCCAAUAACGAGAGGAAGAAAGUCGCGAAGAUGGUGCCUCUUCGGAACAUCGACGUCAUCCUGGAGUCGCGGGGAGGACCGCCAGGGUUGCCUCCACCGCCCUUUCUAAAAUUACCAGCUACUCCUGCACGUGGGUAGGAUGUCGAGAGCAGGUAAGAUUCGACGCGUGACGCAACGAGCCAAUACCGGUCGUUUCCUACCGGGUAUUCGCCAUCAUGGCAAGAUCCACGAAGCUGAUGGGAAACUGGGUCAGGUGCCGUCUCUUUCCAACGGCUCGCUCGAUGUCGAGACGCAGACCGCCGCGACGCUUGUCCUUCUCAACUAUUCUCUGGGACGGUAUCCGACUCGCCCACCUGGAAAUACGCCCACGAGAUCCGAGAGACCUGGCGACCGAGAAAACUACUUUUCCUUCACUGUUCCUCGUUGCUCCCACUGGUCCAGAUCUGGAUAGCACUGUUCCAGGAGAUGGUGCACCGGGAAACGAGUGGAAUAGAAAUGUAAAAUUCAAUUUUAUACUCCAACUGUACUCUUUCAUCCUUUGCUCCAUCCUACCAUAAGCCUGCAUACACACAUCACUAUCUAGGAUCUCUUGGGUUUACCAGCCUACGUGAGCCUACACAGCCACUGGCCCUGGGCAGCAGACCGUUCCAUUCGCAGAGACGAGUGAGGUCAGCGGAUAGCAUGAUUAAAUAUUCCGCUAGAAUCCUCAGGAUGUAUAACAUCUUUAACGUGGAUGCAAAAUCUAUAUACCUGAGUACUGGCAGCAUAAGCUCCUUGAGGAUGACGCGAACGAGCGUCGUGGAUCUUGACGGCUUCCGGCACUUUUACUGAGGCACUCCGACGCGAUCGCAGCAGCAGGCUUUCGGCUCGACUGAGUUUCUACCGUGUUACCUCGACUCGACUCACUUACAUCGGGGGGCCCCCGUCCUUUCAGUCUGCCUAUACACUUCUUUCAGUGUGUGCGGCUCGCAGGUGAGACCAGAUGGCAGCACUUACCCUUCUCGAUUUUGCACCUGGCCGGUAGGAAAUAACUUUUACCGGUCGGCUACUUUCUGGAAUUUUAUAUAUAUACAAGAGGGCUAUCAUGCCGUCGCUGAUGUUCUCGAUGUCGAACUUCGGCUCCGCUGGCUCGCUGGUUACUAUUUUCUCCCUGAGGUAGAGCAUACCGAUGUUAGUCAGAUGCAGAGAGACCGGCGCCAAGAGUAACCUGC
Cephus cinctus (wheat stem sawfly) is the source of this 1650-nucleotide long non-coding RNA. RefSeq lists it as uncharacterized. Lineage: Eukaryota; Metazoa; Arthropoda; Insecta; Hymenoptera; Cephidae. The transcript is spliced from 7 exons. The record is from RefSeq and is a predicted model, not a curated record.